Molecule: ribosomal RNA, 433 nt
Filed under: uncultured bacterium
Lineage: Bacteria
Description: partial 16S ribosomal RNA
Rfam family: Bacterial small subunit ribosomal RNA
Source: RNAcentral
AACGAACGCUGGCGGCAGGCUUAACACAUGCAAGUCGAGCGAGACCUUCGGGUCUAGCGGCGGACGGGUGAGUAACGCGUGGGAACGUGCCCUUCUCUACGGAAUAGCCCCGGGAAACUGGGAGUAAUACCGCAUACGCCCUUUGGGGGAAAGAUUUAUCGGAGAAGGAUCGGCCCGCGUUGGAUUAGGUAGUUGGUGGGGUAAUGGCCCACCAAGCCGACGAUCCAUAGCUGGUUUGAGAGGAUGAUCAGCCACACUGGGACUGAGACACGGCCCAGACUCCUGCGGGAGGCAGCAGUGGGGAAUCUUAGACAAUGGGGGCAACCCUGAUCUAGCCAUGCCGCGUGAGUGAUGAAGGCCUUAGGGUUGUAAAGCUCUUUCAGCUGGGAAGAUAAUGACGGUACCAGCAGAAGAAGCCCCGGCUAACUCCGUG